Molecule: transfer RNA, 67 nt
Filed under: Sigara septemlineata
Lineage: Eukaryota; Metazoa; Arthropoda; Insecta; Hemiptera; Corixidae
Description: tRNA-Phe
Source: RNAcentral
AUUUAUAUAGCUUAAAUAAAAAAGCGUAAUAUUGAAGAUAUUAAGAUAAGAGUAAUCUUUAUAAAUA